Molecule: long non-coding RNA, 2331 nt
Filed under: Malus domestica (apple)
Lineage: Eukaryota; Viridiplantae; Streptophyta; Magnoliopsida; Rosales; Rosaceae
Description: long non-coding RNA (MDOM_LNC018114)
Source: RNAcentral
UACGUGCUUUUCAAUCCAAUUAAAACAUUUUCAUUGAGCCAUUAGAAAUGAAAGACAAUCAUUCAUUGCUAAUAAGGGCAUUGGACCCAUUUAAUCUUUAAUAUCAUGUCAAAACCCUCUUUUAGUUAUGUCUCCUUACCAAUAGUUAAAGAAACUCUAGUCUAGCACUAGAGGGAAUCAACUAACUAAAAGAGAUUAAGAAAUAAUAAGAAUUACAAACCGAUUUGUACAAAUUCCUACAAAUUACACAUACUAAGAGGGAGAGAUAGAUUAAUGUCAAACGUGACAAGGUCCAAUAAAAACUGUAAUUAAAACACAUUCCCAAGGUUCAAACAAUUUGAUUUUAGCGCCUGAUCUCAUAGCUCAAUUAUCGUUUAAGGCAUAAGUCCAUAGUCACCCUUUUCUAACUACUUAAUCACAUUAAAUAAUCAAAAUGGAAUGCAACAUGAACAUUUAGAUUUAGUGCAUAUGGGCAUAAUAGUAUUAUGAGUUUAAACAACUAACAAAAUUAAAAUCAAAUAUUUUAACUUUCUAGUUAGUAGGGGCCUAAAUGCAAAUAAGAAAAAGUUAGGGGUCAAACCAUAAAUACUCAAAAGUAUAAAAUAUCUUUUUCCAAAUUACAAAAAACCCCCCAAGUGGAUAAAUCCACUAGGGUGGCCGGCCACAUUAAGGGGAGAUGGGAAGUUUCACCCAUCUUGCUUUAAUUCAAUGCAAAGUAGAAAAAAUCCAAAUUUGCUUGUCAGUUGGUUUUGGCAUUAAAACUUAGGUGAAAAGGAUUGAUGGAAAUUUCCUAGUCAAGUCUAGGAUUUAAUAAAUUUUGGGAAGGCUAUGGAUGAUAAGUAUAUCAUCCAAAAUUAUAAAACAAUUUAUGAAAACCAAAUAAAACCAUUUUCACCAAAAACAAACCAUGAACACCAAGAACAAAACCAUGAACAUAUUUUCAAGAUUUGUGUAUUCUUGGUGAUUUUUCAAACCCAAAAACUAAAGUGACAAGGGUUCUACUUUCUAGCUUUAAAAUGAUGUGUGAGUGUCUUACAACAAAACACAAACACAUGCCCAAAAAACCCCCUUAAUGCCGUGCCUACCACAAGGAACAAAACCCCAAAUUUUGUUCAUAACUUACUCUUCAUUCAUGCAUCCAAAACACCUUUUUACAUGCAUAUCUUUUUCAACUCUUGAUUUAUAUUUUUCAACCAUUGAAAAACAAAAGAUAAACAUACUUUAAAUGAAGAAAUAAUAUGUCAAACUAGUUCAAAACUCAAUUUUCAUUCAUGCAUACAAAACAUCUUUUGCAUACAUAUCUUUCUCAACUAUUGACUAACAUUUUUCAACUAUUGAAAAACAAAAGAUAAACAUAUUUUGAAUGAAGCAAUAAUUAUGUCAUACAUAAUAUUAAUACCCAUAUGCAUAAAAUCCAAAAGGACACAUUAUACAUAAACCUUUGGCUCUGAUACCACUUGAAGGGAAAACUAUGAGUUUAACACAUGGGAUUUCGAAAUGACUAGCAUGCAUAUACAAUUCAAAAUUUAUAUACAUAAGCAAUGGAAGCAUGUUAUCAAAUAAUAUCAAAGCUAUAGUCAUGCAAAUCCCCUUCAAGGUUCAUAGGUUUAUAUAUAAUGCAUCUAAAACAUUCAAUUUAAGAACUAAGUGAAGGUAUAGAUCUAUACCUCUUGAUCUUGAUUUUAGACCAAGGAUGGACCACCUCCAAGCCCUUUGCUCCUUGAAGGCCUUGAGCCUAGCCUCCCUCCUUGCCUCCUCCACUUUGUUAGUAGGAGUGCUCCAAGGUUCUCCUUUAGUCUCCAAAGGAGAAGACCUCUAAAUAUCCACACCCACUAGUGUAGUGAGAUGGAUGGAGGAAUAACCAAAAGGGUGAAAGAUUGUUAGCUAAAUCACCCUCAAGGUGGCCGGCCUUUGGUGUUUUUAGAGAGAUGUUUCUUUUGCCUCUUUGUUGUUUUAAAACACACAAAAACCCUAAGGAAUAAAUCUCUACAAAGUUCCUUAUAUAGACAAAAAGAAACCUAGUCAACAAAUUGACUUAAUAUCUCUCCCUCUCCACUUUAAAUGGCCGGCCCCUUUGUGUUGGUUUGGGCUUUGGGCUUUUAUUUAUUUCUAGUCAUCCAAUGCUUGAAUAAAAGCCCAAUGGACCCAAUUAAACCCGAACGUUUCUUUAAGCCCAAAACGAUCUUUUAUCGCUUUUAUGAUUUCUUUAGACUUUCUAAAUUAAUCACAACACUUAAUUAAUCCAAUUAAUUAUUUCCAUCAUCCAUUAAUUACUCACUACUAGAGUGUAUCGGUGUACAAUCAUUUUAGGUUCUAAUUAGCAAGGCAGUG